RNAcentral lists this ribosomal RNA (466 nucleotides) under uncultured bacterium. RNAcentral describes it as "partial 16S ribosomal RNA". It matches the Rfam family "Bacterial small subunit ribosomal RNA", at positions 29 to 507 of the family's 1533-position model. The record is from RNAcentral.
ACGAACGCUGGCGGCGUGCUUAACACAUGCAAGUCGAACGGAAAGGCCCUGCUUUUGUGGGGUGCUCGAGUGGCGAACGGGUGAGUAACACGUGAGUAACCUGCCCUUGACUUUGGGAUAACUCAGGAAACUGGGGCUAAUACCGGAUAGGAGCUCCUGCUGCAUGGUGGGGGUUGGAAAGUUUCGGCGGUUGGGGAUGGACUCGCGGCUUAUCAGCUUGUUGGUGGGGUAGUGGCUUACCAAGGCUUUGACGGGUAGCCGGCCUGAGAGGGUGACCGGCCACAUUGGGACUGAGAUACGGCCCAGACUCCUACGGGAGGCAGCAGUGGGGAAUAUUGCACAAUGGGCGGAAGCCUGAUGCAGCAACGCCGCGUGCGGGAUGACGGCCUUCGGGUUGUAAACCGCUUUCGCCUGUGACGAAGCGUGAGUGACGGUAAUGGGUAAAGAAGCACCGGCUAACUACGUG